Long non-coding RNA from Oncorhynchus nerka (sockeye salmon), 2634 nucleotides. RefSeq lists it as uncharacterized. The transcript is spliced from 4 exons. The record is from RefSeq and is a predicted model, not a curated record. Lineage: Eukaryota; Metazoa; Chordata; Actinopteri; Salmoniformes; Salmonidae.
GAUGCCAGUAGGGGGAGCUCUAGUCUAGAACACUGGAACCUUCAGUAGCACUUUGAUGGAGAUGAUGAGGAGUGGUGGGUCACAUCUUGUGAGGAAACACAUUAAGAAACCAUAUAUCACAGUCAACACUUUGUUGUGGAUCUGUAUUUAAAGAAAAUACUAUGUUGAAAAUGGGCUGCAUUUAGCCCCUUUAAAAAAUGUAGUCCCACUCCUCAAAUGAAGAAAUGUAAAUAGCUAUGCAGUCUUUAGCAGUACAUCCAGUACAUCCCUUUCUGACAUGCUGUUGAUGCAUGUGAUUGUCUUAAAUCCCUGACUAGGCUACUUUCACAAUGUGUCAGUCACUAAAAUCACACUUCUUGUUUCUAUGCACAGCUACGACAGUAAGUUGACUCACUGUACAAGACCUCCCCCCUUCACUCUACUGCAGGGUGGGAGAUGCAAUAAUGGCCUUGAGAACAGCAGGAAGUGUGUUGGGGGUCUUUCUCUGGUCUGUAGCAGGUCUGGUCUCAUUCAUAAUGUUUUAGUAAUGUUAUCUUAAUGUUAUUCUGUGUGUUCAGGGACAUCGUCUGUUAGGGGCUUCUUCUUUUCUGGAAUAGUUGUCUUUUACACCUCACUGAGUAACACUUAGGUCCUUUCUGUGGUUUCCAUUCACACUCAGCAAGUAGAGUACGGCAACAAAAUGUGGACAAAUGCUGUUAGUGUGAGGAAAUGGGUCUGCAAUGUAUAAUCACUAUCAUGUGUGAUUGUGUUUCAGUGUUACUUGGUCAGGAUGGCUGGAGUGUGAAGUACAUCACUCAGAGUAUCUGUACCAUGAAGGGGUUAACAGUGGGGAUGUCCUGCUGUUACACAUAUCCCAGUGGUACAGUCACAACAACCUUCUGUUUCACUAGAAAUGAUGCUGAGGGGAAUCCUGUGACUCUGAGUGAUGAACCAGACUACACAGGUCAUGUGACGUACUGUAGCAACAAGAAGAAUGGCCACACCCUGACAAUCAGAGAUCUGAGAGAGUGUGACUCAGCUAUGUACAAGUUCAGAUUUAUAACAGAUCAGACCGUAAGGAAAUAUAGUGGUGAUCCUGGAGUCACUCUGACUGUCACAGAGUGUCCAUCCUGACCCUAACUGGAAAACACACACCACUGAAAAUGAGGAUCAGACACUCUGGCAUGUGAAAAUCUCCCACAGUGACACGUUCACAUCUCUUCAGAGAGACGCUCAGCACUCCGUGUAUCAGACCAUCCAGGGAAGAGAACCACCACAGAACCUGGAGGGAAGAGAACCACCACAGAACCUGGAGCGAAGAGAACCACUACAGAACCUGGACUAAAGAGAACCACCACAGAAUUUGGACUGAAGAGAACCACCACAGAACCUGGACUGAAGAGAACCACCACAGAACAUGGACUAAAGAGCUAUGGCCCCAAACCAAAGCUAGUCCUUACACUCUAUUCUCUUGCUAAUAUAUUGUUAUAAUAUCUUGAAGUUUCACCCAAAUGACAAAAUGACACAUUGGUUUCCCUUCCCUUUUAUCAGUCUAUGAACAUGGUGUGACAUCAGUCCCUGCUUUGGUUUAGUUUCCCCUGACACUGUUUCCACUUGCUAACGUUUUAGCAUUUGUGGCACAAAUCCCAUUCGUCAUGUGACUGAGAGGCAUUUCUCGCACAUCAUUUCGAAAUCAAUCAAAAGUUAUUUUUAAAUGUGUUGUGAAGCUCAACAAAAUCACUUACAGAUGAUUUGAACAUGAUGAGAGAAUGUUAAUAUGUGAAAUCUUAAUAUCAGUCCUGUGACUUGAAUGGGAUUUUUGUAAAUGUGGGAGUGUUCGACAUUGUAGCCAACUUUAUAGGCGAGUCGAGAUCUACAAAUCACCUUGCAUGAUGAAUAACUACUCAAUAUUAUUUAUAGAUCAUUCAUUCAGUCACAAUUUACCCAUGACACAUCAGUUUUGAUGCUCUCGAACACUGUCUGUGUGACUGCUGAAGGAAGCCUUCUCUGCAUAAGCUUCUUGGUCCCUGACAUAGAGUUGGAUAGAAGGUACAUCUUGACAUCUUUGUCAUGAUGUCUUCUGUGACAGAAUGAGCAGCACCAUUGAGGGAUAUUUCAAUAUUCAAGUUGUUAAUAUCUUCAACUUCCAUAAGUUUAAUAACAGUCGGUAUACCAACUGAAAUGGGGUAUUCAAUGGCUUAGCUAUGCUAAAACAGGCUUUGAAGCAAGUACGCCCUCUAUUCAACUCUAUUGUCCCUGACUGCUUCAAUGUUGUGUCAACCACAGACUUCAAACCUGACACUCAGUGUCUAUUUACAUAGACUUCCAGUAAGUGAACUUACAACACAUCUCCCCUUCACUCUGUAAGUCUGCUUGACUAUAUCUUACAAUAUGUUUAUUUUAUCAUUUGUUUGUUUCCAUGAACUUCUGUAUCCUGUUAUCUGCAUGGUGAUGCUGUUGUAAUGUAUGUUUUGUUUUUCUGUUAUUUACAGUAUAAUCUAUAGAUGUAUUUCUGCGUAUUUAAUCUGAUACAGUAUUGUACAUGGGGUUACACAUGUAAUAUUUUUGUAUGGUAUUUUAAGGACUCUCAAAGCAAUAGAUUGUUGUGGAGACUUGUUUGAAAAUGACCUAAAGUAAGAUUGAGAGUAACAGUGA